UGAACGCUAGCUACAGGCUUAACACAUGCAUGUCGAGGGGCAGCAUUUUAGUUUGCUUGCAAACUGAAGAUGGCGACCGGCGCACGGGUGAGUAACACGUAUCCAACCUGCCGAUAACUCCGGAAUAGCCUUUCGAAAGAAAGAUUAAUACCGGAUAGCAUACGAAUAUCGCAUGAUAUUUUUAUUAAAGAAUUUCGGUUAUCGAUGGGGAUGCGUUCCAUUAGUUUGUUGGCGGGGUAACGGCCCACCAAGACUACGAUGGAUAGGGGUUCUGAGAGGAAGGUCCCCCACAUUGGAACUGAGACACGGUCCAAACUCCUACGGGAGGCAGCAGUGAGGAAUAUUGGUCAAUGGGCGAGAGCCUGAACCAGCCAAGUAGCGUGAAGGAUGAAGGCUCUAUGGGUCGUAAACUUCUUUUAUAUGGGAAUAAAGUUUUCCACGUGUGGAAUUUUGUAUGUACCAUAUGAAUAAGGAUCGGCUAACUCCGUGCCAGCAGCCGCGGUAAUACGGAGGAUCCGAGCGUUAUCCGGAUUUAUUGGGUUUAAAGGGAGCGUAGGUGGAUUGUUAAGUCAGUUGUGAAAGUUUGCGGCUCAACCGUAAAAUUGCAGUUGAAACUGGCAGUCUUGAGUACAGUAGAGGUGGGCGGAAUUCGUGGUGUAGCGGUGAAAUGCUUAGAUAUCACGAAGAACUCCGAUUGCGAAGGCAGCUCACUAGACUGUCACUGACACUGAUGCUCGAAAGU
This 742-nucleotide ribosomal RNA is filed under the name uncultured Bacteroidales bacterium. RNAcentral describes it as "bacterial SSU rRNA". It matches the Rfam family "Bacterial small subunit ribosomal RNA", at positions 30 to 760 of the family's 1533-position model. Lineage: Bacteria; Pseudomonadati; Bacteroidota; Bacteroidia; Bacteroidales. The record is from RNAcentral.